RNAcentral lists this long non-coding RNA (835 nucleotides) under Homo sapiens (human). RNAcentral's name for it is "HSALNT0185256". Lineage: Eukaryota; Metazoa; Chordata; Mammalia; Primates; Hominidae. The record is from RNAcentral.
CUCCUGAGGAGAAAGAAAGAGAGGGAGGGAGAGAAAAAGAGAGAGAGAGAAACAAAAAACCAAAGAGAGAGAAAAAAUGAAUUCAUCUAAAUCAUCUGAAACACAAUGCACAGAGAGAGGAUGCUUCUCUUCCCAAAUGUUCUUAUGGACUGUUGCUGGGAUCCCCAUCCUAUUUCUCAGUGCCUGUUUCAUCACCAGAUGUGUUGUGACAUUUCGCAUCUUUCAAACCUGUGAUGAGAAAAAGUUUCAGCUACCUGAGAAUUUCACAGAGCUCUCCUGCUACAAUUAUGGAUCAGGUAUAAUAGUCCCAAAGCUCGUGUCCUCUGUCUCUUGCCUCAGCGCCUGGGUGGCUUGCCGCCCACAUCUAACCCAUCUAUAUACUACAGUAUGGAGAUUUGAUUGAGGAUACAUUGUUUAGGAAUUCCUUUCCUACAAGAAACCUAAAAUGAGAGAGUUUUUUAUUGGACUGUCAGACCAGGUUGUCGAGGGUCAGUGGCAAUGGGUGGACGGCACACCUUUGACAAAGUCUCUGAGCUUCUGGGAUGUAGGGGAGCCCAACAACAUAGCUACCCUGGAGGACUGUGCCACCAUGAGAGACUCUUCAAACCCAAGGCAAAAUUGGAAUGAUGUAACCUGUUUCCUCAAUUAUUUUCGGAUUUGUGAAAUGGUAGGAAUAAAUCCUUUGAACAAAGGAAAAUCUCUUUAAGAACAGAAGGCACAACUCAAAUGUGUAAAGAAGGAAGAGCAAGAACAUGGCCACACCCACCGCCCCACACGAGAAAUUUGUGCGCUGAACUUCAAAGGACUUCAUAAGUAUUUGUUACUCUGAUAUAAA